GGUUGAUUGACGCUGAGGCACGAAAGCGUGGGGAUCAAACAGGAUUAGAUACCCUGGUAGUCCACGCAGUAAACGAUGAUGGCUAACCGCUGGGCCUUACGGUUCAGUGGCCAAGCGAAAGCGAUAAGCCAUCCACCUGGGGAGUACGACCGCAAGGUUGAAACUCAAAGGAAUUGACGGGGGCCCGCACAAGCGGAGGAGCAUGUGGUUUAAUUCGAUGAUACGCGAGGAACCUUACCCGGGCUUGAACUGCAGGAGAACGAUCCAGAGAUGGUGAGGCCCUUCGGGGCUCCUGUGGAGGUGCUGCAUGGUUGUCGUCAGCUCGUGCCGUGAGGUGUCGGCUUAAGUGCCAUAACGAGCGCAACCCCUUUCGCCAGUUGCCAUCAGGUGAUGCUGGGCACUCCGGCGACACUGCCACCGUAAGGUGUGAGGAAGGUGGGGAUGACGUCAAAUCAGCACGGCCCUUACGUCCGGGGCUACACACGUGUUACAAUGGGUGGUACAGAGAGCAGGGUGCACGCAAGUUCACCCGAAUCAAGAAAGCCAUCCUCAGUUCGGAUUGGGGUCUGCAACCCGACCCCAUGAAGCUGGAUCGCUAGU
This 600-nucleotide ribosomal RNA is filed under the name uncultured bacterium. RNAcentral's name for it is "bacterial SSU rRNA". It matches the Rfam family "Bacterial small subunit ribosomal RNA", at positions 734 to 1339 of the family's 1533-position model. The record is from RNAcentral.